Molecule: long non-coding RNA, 1580 nt
Filed under: Mus pahari (shrew mouse)
Lineage: Eukaryota; Metazoa; Chordata; Mammalia; Rodentia; Muridae
Description: predicted gene 42918 (MGP_PahariEiJ_G0003173.1)
Source: RNAcentral
CACCUCCGAGCCCAGCGGGAACGCCACCACCACUGCCACUGCCACCGCCACCGCCGCCUCGGCCGCCCCGAGCCAACAACCGCCCAGCUGCCCAGCCGCUUCCCACUGUCGCCGAGGGCCACGCCCAUUGGCCAGCCGCGGGGCCCUGACGGAAGCCCAUUGGACCGCGGCGCUGCCGUUUCCUCGGGCCCGCCUCCUCACCCUCCAUUGGCUCACAGCUCAGGGGGCGUGUCCCGAGGGUCGUUUUCCCCCGUCCCCCCCCCCCCACACACACACCUCUGGAAGCGGUGGCAUCUGCAUUGAUUGCCAGGAUGACGCUGGGCAAACGUCCGGAUGAGCCUAAGAUGACGGUGGGUGGCGUUUGCGCUCUGUCAUGGGCCGUUAAUACCCACUCCUUGUCAUCCUUGUCAUGAACGCUUCCUCCUGCCAUACCUCUUCGAGGUGUCAGAGAUUCUGAUGUGCCAGCCAGGGGCUCCUUGCGGGGCUGGGGGCCUGGUGGCUUCUCCGAGCGCCUCGUACCUCAUGGAUCCGAAAGGGGGGCAAAUCCUAAGUCUAAGCUGGCGUGUAAACUGCAAACAACACACAGCUGUGGGUCCGGAGAGACGUCUCCACGGCUAAGAACGCUUGCUACUCUUGGAGAGUUUGGGGCUCAGCACCCACAACAGGUGUUUCAGAACCGCCUCUAAGUCCAGCUGUAAAUCAGGAUAUCAAGAGAUUCAUCAUCGUCGUCGUCGUCGUCGUCAUCUCAACAAAAGCAGAGCACAGAGGCCCAUGCUUUUAAUCCCAACGUUUUGGCCUCAACUGCCUAUGUAGCAAGGAUCACCUUAGAGUCAAUCAAUAUCCUCCUGCCUCCAUCCCCGCCAGUAGUUUUGCAGGCUUAUGCUACCCAGCUAAUUGCCACGUGCUUUUUAUUUCCCUCAAUAUUUGAGGGAACUGCGGGCUCACAGCUGGCUCUGCGGCUGCUGCGGGUGCCCGUGUUUCUGUUGUGUUUGGGGCUUUGGUUGUUUUUAACUAGCAAACUGUUUCUGAACGCGAUGGCAUCGUUUAACGUUCCCACUGGGAGUGGAGGAAAGUUCCAGAUGCCCCCACGUGUUCCCAGGGUGAUAUAAAUACAUUCUGAAGAAAUAAACAAGAGAAUGGCGGUCAUCGUCGUUGUGUCUCCUGGAAACAACUCACAGUCCUCGAUGUGAAAGUGACUCAGAGACUCCUCUGGAGUUUACUGGGGGAGGAAAGGACAACUCAGGAGGAGGGCAAACAGUGAGGAAAUGCUGAGUUACCGCAGCUUCCGCCUCUGCCUUCGCCUUGGCUUAAAAUUUUGGGUUUGUUAAAAAAAAAAAAUUAAAGAUUUUGGCUAGGUGUGGUGGCACACAGCCUUUGCACCAACACCACCACCCUGCCCCCAGCUCUGGAGAGGCAGAGGCAAGUGGAUCUCUGUGAGUUUGAGGCCACCCUGGUCUACAGAGGGAGUUCCAGGACAGCCAGGGCUACACAGAGAAACCCCUGUCUCAAAUAUUUUAUACACCAUGUGUGAAAACGUCAUGAUGAAGCCCAUGCUACUACUAAAAACACUUAAAAUGAAU